CAACAAAAACUUUAAAGCAAACACGGAAAAGCAUCCAGUAUUCUAAGAUGUAUCCAGACUAGAACAUUCAAUGUUUGUGUUAAAAUACUUUAG
Sander lucioperca (pikeperch) is the source of this 93-nucleotide long non-coding RNA. RefSeq lists it as uncharacterized. The transcript is spliced from 3 exons. The record is from RefSeq and is a predicted model, not a curated record. Lineage: Eukaryota; Metazoa; Chordata; Actinopteri; Perciformes; Percidae.